RNAcentral lists this ribosomal RNA (486 nucleotides) under uncultured bacterium. Its description in RNAcentral is "partial 16S ribosomal RNA". It matches the Rfam family "Bacterial small subunit ribosomal RNA", at positions 28 to 507 of the family's 1533-position model. The record is from RNAcentral.
GAUGAACGCUAGCGGCAGGCUUAACACAUGCAAGUCGAGGGGCAGCGCGGGAUAGCAAUAUCCUGGCGGCGACCGGCGGAAGGGUGCGUAACGCGUGAGCGACAUGCCCGUUGCCCGGGGACAACCGGUGGAAACGCCGACUAAUCCCCGAUGGGAUACGAUGCUUCAUGGCAUUGUAUUGAAAGUUACGGCGGCGACGGAUUGGCUCGCGUCCGAUUAGCUGGUUGGCGGGGUAACGGCCCACCAAGGCUGCGAUCGGUAGGGGUUCUGAGAGGAAGGCCCCCCACAAUGGGACUGAGACACGGCCCAUACUCCUACGGGAGGCAGCAGUGAGGAAUAUUGGUCAAUGGGCGGAAGCCUGAACCAGCCAUGCCGCGUGCGGGAAGGAGGCCCUAUGGGCUGUGAACCGCUUUUGCCUGGGGGCAAUAAGGGCGUCGCGCACGUCCGAUGAGGGUACCAGGCGAAUAAGCAUCGGCUAACUCCGUG